Molecule: long non-coding RNA, 308 nt
Organism: Prunus dulcis (almond)
Lineage: Eukaryota; Viridiplantae; Streptophyta; Magnoliopsida; Rosales; Rosaceae
Exons: 2
Source: RefSeq, a predicted model, not a curated record
GUUCACGAGAAGGCCGUCGCUCAAAUGUGGACAGACAUAGACAUUCCCGGGGUUGUGGGCUUCGAGGAAAUUGAUCUUAUAAUAUUCAAGAGUAGGCAAGUGGAUUCCAACAAAAAAAGAGACAAGGCAAGUGGAUUCCAAACAAACAAAAAAAGAGUAGGCAGGUGGAGCAUCUGGAAUUUGAUCUGAAAAAUCCGCGAGCAAUCCUUAUCAGAAAGACUUUUAUGAAAUGAAAGUAGUAUUAUUAAUAAUAUUUUCAGUAUUAUCGGUUAUGAAUAAAAUAAUUAACAAAAUAAUAUUAUCCCCUA